UUGUGAAUAAAUAUAUAUAUUCAAUUACAUGUAUUAAACAUAUACAUAAUAUGUUUUAUAUAUGUAUUUAUAAUGCAUUUUAUAUAUAUACAGUCUGCCCUCUAGUUAUGACCUUCUUACCUUUUGGCACUUUGUGUGAGUUUAAUAGCUUUCAAAUCAUCAUGAAAAAGAAAACACACCGUUCAAUAUAUAAUGAUUCUUUGGGACCGACUGCAAUAUCGAGAAACAGAAUCCAUUGCCUCCUAUGGCAGCCUCAGGAUAAACCUCUAUCCCGUUUAUUGAGAUACUUCCAGUCCUGUGGCCACUGCUGAGUUUUCCAAAUCACUGCGGAUGGUGAUUGCAGCCAUGAAAUUUAAAGACGCUUGCUUCUUGGAAGGAAAGUUAUGACCAACCUAGACAGCAUAUUAAAAAGCAGAGAUAUUACUUUGCCAACUAAGGUAUGUCUAAUCAAGGUUAUGGUUUUUCUAGUAGUCAUGUAUGGAUAUGAGAGUUGGACUAUAAAGAAAGCUGAGUGCUGAAGAAUUGAUGCUUUUGAACUGUGAUGUUGGAGAAGACUCUUGAGAGUCCCUUGGACUGCAAGGAGAUCCAACCAGUCCAUCCUAAAGGAGACCAGUCCUGGGUGUUCAUUGGAAGGACUGAUGUUGAAGCUAAAACUCCAAUACUUUGGCCACCUGAUACGGAGAGCUGACUCAUCUGAAAAAAUCCUGAAGCUGGGAGGGAUUGAAGGCAGGAGGAGAAGGGGACGACAGAGGAUGAGAUAGUUGGAUGGCAUCACUGACACAAUGGACAUGGGUUUCGGUAGGCUGCGGGAGUUGGUGAUUUGACAGGGAGGCCUGGCCCAUGGGGUUGCAAAGAGUCGGACAUGACUGAGAGAUUGAACUGAACUGAGAUACUUCAUGACAUUGUAGGGAAUGGUUUAUGUCCAGUUAAGAAAAUGCUUACUAGGCCAUUGCUGGUAUAGUCUUCUAAACAUGCUAGUUAGGUUUAGCUAGUUGAUAGCCUUUUCAAUAUCCUAUGUUUAUUAAUCUACUGACCUUAUCAAUUGCUCAGAGAAGUGUUAAACACACAAAGCUGGAUGAUUUAGCUCUUAAAUCUGCCUACUUUUGUUCUGUUAAUGGCAAACACUAUUGGCAUUUAUAAAUAGAAUUAUUAUGUCUUAAUGAAUUAAUCCCUUUCUAUUUGACAUGUCACCUUUUACCAGUUAAUACUCCUUCUCUUGAAUCCACUUUCCAUGUUACUAAGCCACACCUGAUUUUUGACAUUUAGUGCUUACAUGUUAUUUCUUUCUCCUGAAUUUUUUCAGGUCUUUAUAUGGAGUUUAAUAUGUAUAAACACCAUAUUAUUAUAUUUUCUUUU
This 1356-nucleotide long non-coding RNA is filed under the name Ovis aries (sheep). Its description in RNAcentral is "lncRNA (ENSOARG00000026156.1)". Lineage: Eukaryota; Metazoa; Chordata; Mammalia; Artiodactyla; Bovidae. The record is from RNAcentral.